Molecule: long non-coding RNA, 1558 nt
Organism: Peromyscus eremicus (cactus mouse)
Lineage: Eukaryota; Metazoa; Chordata; Mammalia; Rodentia; Cricetidae
Exons: 5
Source: RefSeq, a predicted model, not a curated record
UCAGGCCUUGGGGGGUCAUGGUUCUCCCGCGCUCGGGGUGGGCUCGUGGUGAGACGAGGGUGCGCAUAACGCUGUGCGCAGUUGGCUGCACUCUGACCCGGAACAGGAAGCGCUGCGGGCGGGUCACCUGCCCUGAGGUAACCUCCGCGGAGGGCGUAGCCAGAGCUAAUGCUGAGUCAGCUCCUCAGUUGUGCCCCGAUGUUUGUGUCAGGCGGCAAGCAUUUGGAUGUGUAUUCUCAGAAGUGGAAACAUGUUCAAACAAGAAGUAGUUCAUAAAUAUGCAUUGUAUAUAGGCCCAAAGUAGAAACAACCUGAAUAUCCAUGAGGUGAUGGACAGAUGUGAUAUAGAUGCACAACAGGAUUGUAAAAGGCUUUCAGUUGGCUAUGAAUCUACAGUCCACUCUCCAGUUGUGAAAGAUGAGUAAUUAUAGACUCCCUGGACAUUGCAAAAUCCAAACAACAGACACCUUCUGGUUGAUCUCUACAGUGAUAAGGCUGAGAAGCCAGUGUUAUCAUCCAUCUCGUUAUCUUCAUAUUUAAAUGGCAUCUGAGAAGAUAUAUGACUACUCUCUGGGGACAUGUUUGAAAACGUCAUUUGGAAGUUGUGUAUGGACUGACAAGAUGGCUCAGCAGAAAAAGAUGCUUGCUGGGCAAGCUUGGUGACCUGAAUUCGAUUCCCAGAACCCAUGUAAAGGUGUGGGGAGAGAACUGACUUUACAAAGUUGUCCUUUGACCUCCAUAGAUGUGUCCCCUCCCCCAACUAACAAUACAUAGUAAAUAAGUUUAAAAGUUAUCUAUGAGUGGGGUGUGGGAUGUGCUCAGUGGCAGAGUGCUUGCCCUGUGUGCAGAAUGCUCUGAGUUCCAUUGACAUCCCUAAAAAACCAGAAACAGAACCCUAGUAGUUAUCUAGGAUUCAAAUCUCCUGUACUCCUCUGACUGGUGACAGAAUUUACCCACAUUCUUUAAUCAAAACAUAUUCAGGGACAGGGUGGGAAAGAGAGGCAGAGACAGAGAGACAGAAAUCUUUGAGAAAUGGCAGCAUAACGCGACCCUGCCCGAGAGCUCUUCCUCUGUGCCACCACGAGAGAAAUGCAGGAUGUCCUGUGGGGAACAGCUUUGCUCUUGGCAUGGCAGGCAGAAAGUAGGGGACUGAAAGUCAAGAAGAGGACCAACCAGGGGGUCAAGUGAUUGAAGCCAGCAAAGCAAGAAGGCCUAGAAGGAAAGGCCAAGAGGCUGUUGGGUUGAGGAGCCCAGUGACAGCAUGAGGAUUUAUCAUCCCAUCCUAAGCCACUGCCACAGCAUUUUAUUGGUGGUUUUAUUAUUGUUUGUGUUCCUCCUUUAUAAAAACAGGAAAGUUUUUUUUAAGCUAAUGAUGAUUUUAUUUUUAAGGCUAUCAUGAUUGACAUCAGCAUGUGCUGGUGUUUUAUAAACUGACCAUAGGUAUCACCCCCUAAGUAAGCAAGAGUGUUUUUUCCUACUGCUGUGAUUCUUGAUUUUGAGAGGGAACUACCCAUGUGGACGAAGCACCUUCUGAAAUGAGUGGUGGGUUCUGAAUUGU